UACGGAGGGGGCUAGCGUUGUUCGGAAUUACUGGGCGUAAAGCGCGCGUAGGCGGCUUUGUAAGUUAGAGGUGAAAGCCCAGGGCUUAACCCUGGAAUUGCCUUUAAGACUGCAUCGCUAGAAUCGUGGAGAGGUGAGUGGAAUUCCGAGUGUAGAGGUGAAAUUCGUAGAUAUUCGGAAGAACACCAGUGGCGAAGGCGACUUACUGGACACAUAUUGACGCUGAGGUGCGAAAGCGUGGGGAGCAAACAGG
This 253-nucleotide ribosomal RNA is filed under the name uncultured bacterium. RNAcentral describes it as "partial 16S ribosomal RNA". It matches the Rfam family "Bacterial small subunit ribosomal RNA", at positions 524 to 776 of the family's 1533-position model. The record is from RNAcentral.